This 1308-nucleotide long non-coding RNA is filed under the name Parus major (Great Tit). Its description in RNAcentral is "lncRNA (ENSPMJG00000016942.1)". Lineage: Eukaryota; Metazoa; Chordata; Aves; Passeriformes; Paridae. The record is from RNAcentral.
UCUCCAUUUUACUCAUAGCGUCAGCAGCAGAGACAAACUCCUCCCACUCCUGGGCUCAGCAACACAACCCAAUGAGGCCGUGGAGGUGGCUACAACAUCCCCAGGUGCUCCCCUCCCAGCCGCCAGGCACAAACACACGCUCCUGCUGCUGAUGGGCCAGCGACGGCUGCUGGUGCUUCUUGCACCCAGCUUAAAAACGAGGGGACUUGGCUGUCAAACAGUCUCCAUUGAAGAGAAUUCAGCAUUCUAUAGGCUUUGAGCCAUAGAAAAUAACAAAGGACUGAGAAAUUCCUGGCAGCAGUAGUCACUCGUUACUCAGGGUAUCCCAGCUGUGCUCUCUCCUCACCGGGCUAAAACCAUGGGCCCUGUAAUGCAUUGUGGAUCCCGACUCUUCUGCUUCAGGUCUGCCAGCCGGGGCAGUCGCUGGAUCCACAGCUCCCCACCUAAGGACAAGGUGGGACUGCUGGAAACAAUCAUUGGAUUCUCAGCAUUUUCACUGGCACUUCUGGGACCAGCGGGAUGGUUCCUGUGCCACCUUUCAAGCUAUAAAAAGAAAUAGAAAACAUCCCUUAAAAAUUAAGAUCUAAAGGCUACAAUUAAUGGUAAUACUCCAAAUUUGGACUCUCUUGAAAAUCCCUGUUCCCACACUGUCAGCCAUCCCAUGGACCAGGUCCCAGAAAGCUUUUACAGAUACUGUAGACCUGCACCCAGAUAUACAAUGGUGUAGUGAUACAAAAUAGUGGCAGGUCUGCUCUGCCACCCCCUGCUGCGUUGGGCCAGCCUGGAUCUGUCAUCAAGUGCUGCGAGAAGUGGAAGAUUGAUGAGGAGGACUGUAAACACACUCAAGUGACUUGCAGUUUGGCUGUUGAAAAACACAUAUAUCAUACUAAUUGUUGUUUGACGUUGUGUUUUAGGCAAGUUGAACAUCUGUGGCUAGGAAACAUAGGCCUGUGGUAGACUUAGAGGCGCCCUAUCAAACAUGCUUGAGAAUCUUGCCCUCCUGCGGGCAAGAUUAAAGCACAGUGGUAAAUUAUACUUGUGUGAAUCCCUGAAAUGCAGGAAAAAACAGCAGGUUUGCUGAUCCUCCACCAUGGACCAAGCUUUGCAGUGCCUGUGUUCCCACUUGUGUGCUUUUCCUGUCUGCUUCUUUGGUGAUCCCUGGUCGGUGAGAUAAGAAAAAUGAGUUUGCUCUUUGCCUUUCAUCCAUGGUUUUGUCAUUGUUUGAGUCCUGUUUGCACCAGCUCAUACAGGUACCAUCAAAAGUUUAAAGUAAAUAAAGAGGAAAAAAUACAGAAAAAAAAUUUAUAG